AUUCUGUCAUGCCUUCCAAAUUGCUCUACGCAUUUAAAAACAAUUGUCAGCUUUGCAAAUAUUUCUAGCACUCAAAAGGAGGAAGCUGAAGGACUGGGGGUAUCUUGUUUUUCUUGGGAGGAAUUCU
Molecule: non-coding RNA, 127 nt
Organism: Prunus avium (sweet cherry)
Lineage: Eukaryota; Viridiplantae; Streptophyta; Magnoliopsida; Rosales; Rosaceae
Source: RefSeq, a predicted model, not a curated record